UGGGGAAUAUUGGGCAAUGGGGGAAACCCUGACCCAGCAACGCCGCGUGAAGGAAGAAGGCCUUCGGGUUGUAAACUUCUUUUACCAGGGACGAAUAGAUGACGGUACCUGAGGAAUAAGCCACGGCUAACUACGUGCCAGCAGCCGCGGUAAUACGUAGGUGGCAAGCGUUAUCCGGAUUUACUGGGUGUAAAGGGCGUGUAGGCGGGACUGCAAGUCAGAUGUGAAAACCAUGGGCUCAACCUGUGGCCUGCAUUUGAAACUGUAGUUCUUGAGUACUGGAGAGGCAGACGGAAUUCCUAGUGUAGCGGUGAAAUGCGUAGAUAUUAGGAGGAACACCAGUGGCGAAGGCGGUCUGCUGGACAGCAACUGACGCUGAGGCGCGAAAGCGUGGGGAGCAAACAGG
Molecule: ribosomal RNA, 406 nt
Filed under: uncultured bacterium
Lineage: Bacteria
Description: bacterial SSU rRNA
Rfam family: Bacterial small subunit ribosomal RNA
Source: RNAcentral